GCAAAUGCUUGCUGCAAACAUCAGUGAUGCUUCCAGGCUCAAAGAUAGCGUGCGCGCGCGCGCGCGCACACACACACACACAUGGCAAGUCCUAAUCACAGAGACCUUGCUGCCCAUCCUCUUAUCUCUUCUUCACAUCCUAACCUCAGCUUCUACUGAUGGUGUGGCCUUUGCUUCUUCCCCUUCCUUAUUGCUUGAAAGUUGCCUGAGGUCCCAUGAUGUGGUGCUGUUUAGGAGAUUAAUUAAAAUGAUCUACUGUACUAUUAACAUUCUCAAAUCUGGAAAGCUAAAGGAGCUGUGCCUGCAGUGCAGUCAGUGCUGACUAAUUAAAGAAAAUACAGUUGUAAAUGGCUAUUGUAAGCAGUUUCCUUUUAAAAAAUACAGCACCAGGGGAGUGUAGUUUAUGGCAAUGGCAGCAUUAUGAGAAUUGAUCAGCCUAAACAAACAGAGGCCGAUAUGUUAAGGGGGAAGUAUUAACUAAACCAACUUUCUCACAACAUUCCAUUUAAAAAGUAAUAAUUUAUCCGUAUUAAUUCUCUUUUAACAAAGGAGCUAUCUUCUGGCUAGAACGGGAAAGGAAUACUGCACUUUCAGGUUGAUAGGAGGGAAGACCCUGAAGCCUAUGGAUUUUCACUGAUGACUCAGCAGACUCUGAAACUGGUCGGCAUAAUUCAGAACACAUCCCACUGGGGUUUCAGGUUUUAUUUCCCAGUAAUACCAAUGAAAUCUAUAAAACUCAGACCUUUUUUGCCUGUUUGGUUGUGAGACUACCCUUCUCGCCUGUCUUUCUGUGGACUGGACCCAAGAUCAUAUCAAUCGGACUAGGCCUGGCCCUGGCCCCAGGGAGAAAGUGCCCUUAGAGGCCUCUUGAGUCUGGAGUAAGGCAAGCCAAAAACCUUGUUUACUCUAAAUACAGACCUCAGAUAUUGUAUGCACUUGUGGUAAUGGUUUUUCUAAUUUUAAGAUUACAUGAACAGUGGCUGACAUCCUGACUAUAUUACUCAAUAGUACUACUCAAGAGUUACUCUAAAGGACUACUACAUUUCAAUAGAACUUCCUCUAGUAAAUUUAGCCUGAAUGACAACCAGUGGUUCUUGUCCAAACAUGUUUCAUUUGUAUUAAUAAAGACAGUUUGGUAUCAAAGAGUUAUAUCAUGAGACUAUUAUACAAAUACAAUGAGAUGGUUUGGCUCAUGAUGCAGGAAGAGGGCAAAGUAUAAAUGCUAGUGAUUUCCCCUUAAUUAUGAUUUUGCACAUUCUUUUUAAUCAUACAAAAGAAAGCAAGUAAACAAGUGAAACCACUUCACUUUUGUUUUUUGGUUUUUUUUUAAUGGAACAUUGACACUACACAAUCUGAACAAACUGCAGGUGCUGAACCACUGAUUUGCGAAAACCAUGGAUUUUUGCAGCAGGGUUUGGUACAGUUUAUUAUUUUUUAAACUGCAAACUAAAAACAGCUAUUUCAUGCACAAUAAUGAGUUUUUGAUGAGAACAAAUGAGAAAGAUGCAUAUAUACAAGGACUGGAAUGAAAUGAGUGGCAGCUGCCACCAUCAAGCUGCUGUGAGGGUUUCAGUAAGACAAACAAAACAAAGGCAACCUCCCCCAUACUCCAGCAUACCCAAACUGCAUUUUUCUGUGUAUUGUAACAGUUCUGUUUACAACCCAUAAAGUUUGGUUGGCAAAGAAUUUUGCCCAACAGAUUUAUAGACAGAGCGUGGGUACUUGGAGGAAGUAAAAGCUGAGGAAGCUGUUUCCCCAAGCACUGGAAUAUGGCACUUCCCGUGUUAUUUCAGUUUCCAUGGUGGAUCUGCCUGUGCUAGAGAGUGGAUUGGUAUAGCCUUGAUUCAGGGACCCCAGAAACAGAAGGUCCCACUGGGGGUGCCAGAAAGGAGUGUUUUAUUUUUGGAUAGUGAAUGUUCUGGAUUAAAGACUCCUGCCCCAUUCUCUUCCUGGCAUCAGCCUCCUAGCUGAGAAGUGUCCACAGCAAAGUAGAGAAGGGGCAGAAAUGGAAAGGACAGAGGUCCUCACUGAUGGUCUUGUCUGGAGCCCCACAAAGAGAUGGAGCUGGCCCUGUGGAUAACUUUGGAACAGUCCAGUUCUAACAGCACCAGAAGACAAUGGCUUAAAAGACCAGAAAACUGAAAUGUUCUGAACUUAAUGGAAACAUCCAGACUCUUACAUGAAGUCCUUAAAAAGCAAUCAGAGGGAGCGUAAAAUGGCGGAAAUGGUUAGAAGUGACUGUUACUUUCUUAGCUAGAGACCAACAGAGAAUGAAAGGAAAACAACAAGAAUGGGAUUCUGCAAACAAACAAGCCAUGAGACACAUAUUUCUACUAUUAUUUUUCUCAUUAUGUUUUCACUUAUCUACUCAAAGAGAAAAAUGAAGUUUUGCUAAAACUUAAAGAAUAUGUGACUAAAAUAAGCAACAGGUUUGGAAGAAAACCUAAGACUGUGUGCACUGACCAUGGCACAGGGAAUAUACUGGAAAAUAUAUUGAACAAUACCUAAAGGAACAAGGAAUUAAGCAUGAGAAAACAGUACCUUAUAUGUCAGAGCAAACGGGGUGAUGGAGAGACAGAACAGAACCCUGAUUGAAAUGUCCAGAAGUAUGCUCCUUGAUUCAGGUCUGGAAAAUAAAUACUGGGGAGAUGCUGCAAUGACUGCAACUUAUUUUCAGAAUGGACUACCCACUAAAACGAAAGCUGCAACACCUUUUAGCUAUGCAAUGGGACAAAACCUAACUUACAACAUAUUAGAGUGUCCGGAUGUAAAGCAUAUGCAUAUGUUCCUAAAGAAAAAAGAGGGAAAUUAGAUUGCAGAAGUGAAGGAGGAAUAUUCAUAGGUUAUGAACUGGGUAGCAAAAGCUACAGAAUACUUGACCACCUUUCAGAAACUGUUAAACUGUGUAGUAUUUCAUAUUUUGAUGAAAGAUCAAGGCCAAAUGCCAAUGCAAUAUCUAACUGUGACUCAGUCUUUCUGAUAAGUGAGGAGGCUAACCAGCAACCACAGCAACAAAAUGAGGAAGUUAUAAUAAGCUACGAUAUAGUAGAGAGAUCUAAUCUAGAAGGAGAGACUGAGAUGGAACCAGAAGUAGACAUAAUAAAGGAGUCCCAUUUAAAUGAUUAUAUUUCGCAGCCAGAGAACAAAAAAUACUAGAACCUACAAAUUGGCAUAAAACUGAAGGAAUGCCUGAUUCAGAAAUAGAUCAAUUGCUAUAAGCAGCAAAGGAGGAGAUUGGAUUACUCCAUAAGAACAAAACAUAUACUCUUGUAGAGCUACCUGAAGGUAGGAAAGCAAUAGGAUGCAAGUGGGUUUUCACAACCAAACAGAUUGCAGAGGGGAUAUCUAGUGACAUAAAGCAAGACUGGUUGCCAAAGGAUAUGCACAAAAAUAUGGAGACAAUUAUGAAGAAUCAUUUGCACCUGUGGUCAAAAAUACAUCUAUUAGACUGCUACUUACUAGUGCUGCAUCAAGAAGAAUGGAAGUACAUCAUCUGGAUGUUAAGACAGCAUUUCUAUAUGAUGAGAUUAAAGAGGACAUAUAUAUGAAACAACCAACUUUUGAACCAGAAAAAAAGCACUUGUCUUUAAACUUCAGAAAAGUAUAUAUGGUAAAAACAAUCUGCCAGAGCAUGAAAUGAAAAAUUAAACCAACUACUUCCAAGAGAAGGAUUCAAGCAAGGGAAAGUUGAUUCCCUGCUUGUAUACAAGGCUCAGAGGGAAGGUGGAUAUACUUCCUCACAUAUGUGGAUGACCUGAUAGUGUCCCAUCAAGAUAAGAGAGAUCAUGAUGAAUUAGUGAGGAGUUUAAAUACAGAAUUGGAAAUUAAAGAUCUGGGAAAGAUCUCCUAUUAUCUUAAAAUUCAAAUAAAAAGAUGAAAAGAUGGAUGUUUUACCUUGAAUCAAAAACAAAGUAUUGUGGACUUAGUAUAGUGUCUUGACUUGACAGAAGCAAAUAAAGUAAACACCCCAAUACAAAUGGGCUUUCUCUAGGAGAAAGAAUGCAGCGAUCCACUAGAAAAUAAUGACAAAUGCAGAAUGGGAGUUGGAAAACUGCUUUCAUGACCAGACAUGGCAGCAGCAGUUGGGAUAUUAUGCAGAAGAGUGAACACACCAACACAUAAAGACUGGACUGCAAUUAAGAGAAUUGGACAAUAUCUAAAAGAUACAGCAAAUUUAGAAUUACUACUAUCAGCUAGUAAAGAACCUAGGUUAAUAGGUUACAUGGCUGAAGACAAGGAAGAUAGAGAAUCAACCAGGAGGAAUGCAUUAUUUUAUGGGGGAGGAGUGAUUUCAUGGAUGACUAGGAAAUAGUCUAUUGUUGCCAUCUCUUCAACUGAGGCAGAAUUUAUAUCAGCAGCACACAGGCUUGCCAAGAAAUUGUGUGUGUGUGUGUGUGUGUGUGUGUGUGUGUGUGUGUGUGUGUAGGUAUAUGUAUAUGUGUAUGUGUAUGUGUACGUGUAUGUGUAUGUGUGUGUGUGUGUGUGUGUGUAUACAGGUGAAACUCGGAAAAUUAGAAU
Hemicordylus capensis (graceful crag lizard) is the source of this 4518-nucleotide long non-coding RNA. RefSeq lists it as uncharacterized. The record is from RefSeq and is a predicted model, not a curated record. Lineage: Eukaryota; Metazoa; Chordata; Lepidosauria; Squamata; Cordylidae. The transcript has 4 exons.